GAGUAUGGGAGACAGCAGAAGGAAAGCCCUGCCCCUCCCUGUUUAAACAGGGUAAUGACGCAGAUGGGGGCCUGACCGCCCUGAACCCAGUGUUUGUAACUACUGAGCAAACACGAAGGCCAAGAGGAACUGACCAUCCCAGUGAGGCGAAACACAAUGGCCUCUCUAAAGGGCUUUCUCUCUUUAGUGUGGCAAUCCGCAUCUGGAGGUAGGCAACAGAGUACCAUUCAUACACUGCCGGGACACUGCUGCGGUUCUGCUAUUCCUGGUUUCCAAGUGAUGCCCAAGGAGUGCGAAGACGGAAAAUGGGCCAGAAGGGCCAGUCCAGAAACAGGGAGAUCCUUCCUGCCAAGGCCGCAGGGCUGCUCCAUACUUGAGGACAAGACUUUCCUUGUACCCAACCCCCAGAACAUUAGCCCUGGGCUCUGGUAGAUUCCUUUGCCCGCGCGCGCCCGUGCACACAGGCACAGAAAACAGACCCUGAGAAACAGACUCGCUAAAGGAAAUGGCCAUUGUCAAGCAAAUCAGUCCUAAAGGAAGCCCUGGAGGGAUGAACAGCUUCGAGGUCAGCCCUGGGGCAGGCUGGGGGAGAAAAAGAAAGGCUUUUGUGCGUUCUAAAGGAAAUCAGAAAUCAGCUUUGCUCUGAGAACCCUCCCUCAAACCCUUCAGUUACCUCCCUCUUUUGCCGUUUUACUGCCUUCAGAUACAGGGGGCCAAAGAAGGAGAGAGCCAUUGCCAGACGACAGGGGAUGUCUACAGGUGUCAGGAUUUUGCUUCUUGGGACACUUGGCUUAUACGUAGGUCUGUGUCUGAAUAUCUGGGAUAUUCAGUUUUUUGAACUGGGUUCUGUUGUGGUUUAAACAUGAAGUGCCCCCCGCAAAGGGCCUUCAUGUUUUGAGGGCCUUGAUCCAUGCAGCUGUGCUCAGACGUAGGCCCUAGAGUGGUGGCUGGAUCGUGUGGAUUCGGGACCUCCAGGGAUGAGCUCACAGCUGAAUGGGCUUUUAGGGGGCAGGGCCCCUGUGGAGGAAGCGGGCCACACUGCGGGCUGUACCUUUGAAGGGGAUAUCUUGCCCCUGGUCCCUUCCUUUCUCUUCCUCCGGCUCUUUCCUUUUGGUUUUCCUUCUUGGCUGCCAAGAAGUGAGCAGCUUUGCUCUGCCUCCUCCUUUCACUACAAUGUUUCUAGUGAAGUUUUUAGUAGGCCUAAAAGCAAUGGGGCCCAGCCAACCAUGGACUGAAACCUCUGAAACUGUGAGCCAAAAUAAACCUUUCCUUCUCGUAAGUUGUUUUUCCCUUGGGUAUAUUGCUAAAUAGCAGACAUGAAACUUUCAAGAGCAGGAAUUAGAAGUUAGGUCUGAUUUGAGUAUUUUCUGAAUAAUAGGUGUUGACUGCACCUUGAUACACUUUCCACUGGGUGAUCCGAAUUAGCCCACUGAGACAACAGGAACGGGUCCCACGAAGUCCUGCUUCUCAUGACUUCUAACCCCUGGGCAAUCAUGUUCAACCUUCACUAUGAAAGACUCCUCUUGCACCUGGCAUUUCAGCCAAUAAUUCUUCUUUUCUGGAAGCUGCUUUUUUUAAACCCUAAUGAUGGCCACAAUGCUUACAUGAAUAUUGUGGAUUCUCUCUAAAUCUUCGUGUUAUUCAAUUUGCCCCCCACCCUUGAAUUUUCUUAGGUUCUUGUUUGUUUGUUUUUUGGUACCAGGGAUCAAACUUGGGUCCUUGUGCUUUUGAGCCAGGCAGUGGAACCACUCCCCAGCCCGGUUCUUCAAGCUUUGUAAACUUAAACUCAGGGCCGGGGAUUUAGCUCAGUGGUUCUGCCGCCUGCCUUGCAAGCGCAAGGACCGGAGUUCAAUCCCCGGUACAAAAAAAAACAAAAAACAAAAAACUUAAGCUCAAUAAGAGCAGCAGGGCUGUGAGAUUAAGAAGUGUUUCUGCAGAUGUUGGGCUCCUCUCCUUCCCUUCAUUUGAAUGACUGCCACUUACUCUUUUGAUUUCAGGUUGACAGAGGACAGAGGCACUCAUAUGCUGAGAUUUGUUUGCCAUGAAACCAAAGCCUAGAGCAAAUCUUUGCUUUGUGUAAGAAAUGUCGCAAAUGGAUAAAUAGGUGAGUGUGUGUGUAUGUCUGCAGCUUCACAGCUAAUCAUGAUAGAAAAUAAAUUUCACUGCUGACAAUAUUCAAGGAAAAUAAGUUAACUUCCUCUCACAAGUCUAAUAGUCAUAAAUCAUAUGUGUGUGUGUGUGUGUGUGUGUGUGUAAAACAGUCUAAUUUUCCACUUAUCUGUGGUCUUUGAGAUUUACUGUUUUACUGAAGCAUUUUCUAAGGGUCCUAAAUAAGGCAGAAAAGUAUCUAAGUUACUAUGAGUAUUAGAACCAGAAGUCACCCAUGGCUUGACCAGAACUGACUAGAAUAGUAUUUUAAAAUAAGAAGGGACCAUUCUAGGCCAGUCUUUUUGUUUUAUCCCUCCAGGGGUCUUUGAUUAGAUUAACAGCAGAGUCAGAGAUAGCAUCUGGUUCUCCUCUUUAUCAACACUCUCCAUCACCAGGAUGCCCUUCCUGAGAAUCUUCUGCAUCUUAGAAUUUAUCGUUGUUGCUAUUAAGCCUUGGAAUUUAUAAGCAUUUAUCCCAGGUUGCCUGGUUUUGAUAGCUUUCAGUACAGAAUAUUGGCAGAAGAUCAAAAACAAACUCUUUUCAGGGUUCUGUCCCUAGAUAAAUCUGACAGGCGCCAUAUAAUGAUAAAGGACUGACACCCACUCACGCAAAAGAUAGGUUUUAUUAACGAUAAGCCAUCUGGACUUCAUCCAGCAUUACAAUGCUGGCACCGAUCAUAUCUAUCUGCCUGUCUAGACAGAGCCAGGUACUUGGGGAAGAGAAACGAGAAUUAAGUUAUAAAGAAGCAUCUGACUCCAAUGCAAUCUACUAUGGUAUAUUUCCAAAAACGAUAUCCUUUCUCAAAAGUCAAAAUGCACAAGUUAUAGCAUCCAAUAAAGCACUUGAAAAAAGGAAAUGAUUUUCUAGUUUUACAUUCCCAUUUAUCUUCCCUGCCUGCACCAAGGUGUGCGGCCCACACCAAACCCACACUGUGACCCACAAGCCUUGUGUGUCUCCUGGCCAGAAGCCAGCUGAUGAAACUGGGGGAACUUGCCCCUUGCUUGGACAGUUUUAGAUGACAUCUGAUCUGAGUUUGGUCCCUGACUGCCAUUAUCUACUUCACCUGUAGAUCCACACUCUCAACUGGGAGGUGUGCAUUGCUGCUGCGGAGCUGCCUGAAGGAUAAACUUUUAGAAAUUGUAGCUUCUCUGCAGGCAAAGGAAAAAUGGCAGGAGCAAAUGGAACAGAAGCCAUCCUCAAAGGAAUUGUUUAAUGCCUGGGUGUGUAGACGAGCUCUUACAUGUACAUGAUCUACACCAGUUUAUGAGAAUAAAACAGCUUUCUUAAUGGUGUAGUUCUAGAUGCAUGUUCCAAGAUUAGGUGUAUGUGUGGAGAGAGAAGCCAGAAAAGGCUCUUGGAGAAUCUGUAGCUUUAUUUGUUCAUUUAUUUUUGCAGUACUGGGAUUGAACUCAGGGCCUUUGCACUAGAUUAUAUCCUUCCUUUUCAUUUUUCGGUUUGACACAGGGUCUUGCUAAGUUACCCAGGUGGGACUUGAACUUACUAUCCUCCUUCCUCAGCUUCCCAAAGUGCUAGAAUCACAGGAGUGUGUCUAGAAUUAGGAGCUUUAGAGAUGGUUUCAGGGUUUUACUUGAGGGAGCUCUUAUACUUCUUAGUAUUUUUGGUAUUCACAUGAACAAACUGGGAAUAAUCCUGGAAGAGGAAGGUACUUUUUGGUUAAGACCUGUUAAUUAAGCUCAGCCUCAGUCAUGAUAAAAUUGUGGCAAAAACUUUCUUGGAGGUAGUUUUAGGCUUUCAUCACAAAAAACCAGUAAGAUAAUUAAUUUUAAACAGAAGGAAGUAGGAGAGAUUAGAACAGUAAUUUUCAAGUUGGGGGGCGGGGUUUGUCCACCAGGGGACAUUUGGUAAUAGUUGGAGACAUUUUUUGGUUGUCAUAGUACAUGUGUGUUACUGGCAUCUAGUGGGUAGAGGCCCGGGAUGCACUGAUCAUCUGGCAAUGCAUAGGAUGGUCCCACACCAAAGAAUUACCUGGAUCUACAUGACAGCUAUGCUGAGACUGAGAACCCCUGAAUGGAGAAAGGGCCACAAGAGUGAAUUAGAAGAAUCUAGCUUCAGUCCUCUGAUUGCAAAACAACAAAAAUGAAAUCCCCACCUUUGGUGCCUCUGUUUCCUCAUCUGUAAAACAGGGCUAAUAAAUAUGUUCUUCAUAGAAAUAUUAUCAGGAUUCAUGAAAUUAUAUACGUUAAGUGCUCUGAUCUCUUCACAAGAAAGGAUCUCUAUAAAAUCAGAGCACAGUUAUUAUGACUUGUAUUCUGAUGAGCUCAUGAAACUGUCUUAAACAUUCUCCUCCCCCUCAGAAAAAAAAUUCCUCCAGGAAAAGAAAACAAACCAGAAAUGAUCUCAUCAUGACUACACCUACCACACCAAAAAGCAGACAGAGUUCAGAGAAAUGAAAUUCUUCCCCUUCAGCAAUGAACUAAGCUGCAUCUGUAAUUAAGAUCUUAAUAAGGGAGUCAGGGCUUGCUGCAGAGCUGCAGGCUAUGAAAUGAGGGGGUACCUGGCCAGGUUUAAAACAGGAACAAUUGAAAUCUGAUCCCCCUCAAGUCUUCACACUCUCAGGUGUUCCAAACAAAUCCAUAUUUUAAAAACAGGCUUGCUUUCUUUCUCAAGAUGUCUAUUUCUGCAAGGGGAAAAAAGGGUGCACCUUAUUUUUUUUUGCAAGAAAAUGUUAUUUAUGACUCUAUGAAGAAUUUGCCUAAAUCCACUUUUGCAAAAAGGCACUUAGUUUCCCACAAAAGACCGCCAGAAGGGGCAAUGCCUUGGACAGCGGAUUGAGCAACUCAGUGACCAUGUGUUCCUGAACCUUCUGAGAGAGUUCCCAGUUUCAAAUAUCCUUGCCAUUGUCAGACCAAAUGUUCCACUGUUUGGUCUGUAAAACAUGGACCCAUACCCAUAGAAAUUAUAGAUUAUAAACCCCAAACAAAGGCUAGGCAUACAAGUCUAUUUCUUCCUAAUGAAUCUGCCUCAUUUGAGUUGAAAGAGCAAAAAAAUAUUGGUAAGAGUUUGUAAUUCAGGCAAUGAACGUGUUCUCCAGUUGACUAGAUAAUCUUUAUAAGCAAGUGAGAUAUAGUCUCAGGGCCUCUGGGCUUCUGUGAGACUGCCUAGAAAUCCCGCCUCACAUAUGAACAGAAAGAAGGCUUUGGGCUACCUGUUGCCUAUUAUUUCUUCUCAUCACACUGGGCUCUGAGCAAAGAAAUUCUGAGAAUCAGAGACUAGUGAUAAAAUUUUAUCCCGGGGGAAUAGUCCAGAGAGAGGGUAUCACAAUUUUGCUAUUCUGAUGCUGUUGUGCUAAUACAGCCAUUAUGCUGGUCUACGGAGCCAUUUCCUGCCA
Molecule: non-coding RNA, 5497 nt
Organism: Heterocephalus glaber (naked mole-rat)
Lineage: Eukaryota; Metazoa; Chordata; Mammalia; Rodentia; Bathyergidae
Source: RefSeq, a predicted model, not a curated record